This 304-nucleotide ribosomal RNA is filed under the name Polaribacter sp. Asnod1H04. RNAcentral's name for it is "bacterial SSU rRNA". It matches the Rfam family "Bacterial small subunit ribosomal RNA", at positions 444 to 746 of the family's 1533-position model. The record is from RNAcentral. Lineage: Bacteria; Pseudomonadati; Bacteroidota; Flavobacteriia; Flavobacteriales; Flavobacteriaceae.
GAAGAAACACUGGUAUGUAUACCAGCUUGACGGUACUGUAAGAAUAAGGACCGGCUAACUCCGUGCCAGCAGCCGCGGUAAUACGGAGGGUCCAAGCGUUAUCCGGAAUCAUUGGGUUUAAAGGGUCCGCAGGCGGUCAAUUAAGUCAGAGGUGAAAUCCCAUAGCUUAACUAUGGAACUGCCUUUGAUACUGGUUGACUUGAGUCAUAUGGAAGUAGAUAGAAUGUGUAGUGUAGCGGUGAAAUGCAUAGAUAUUACACAGAAUACCGAUUGNGAAGGCNGUCUACUACGUAUGUNCUGACNC